CGGACAUUGGGACACUGAUGAGGUCGGGUGAGCCCACACUGGGGCACUAUGAUGAGGCCGGGUGAGUGCACUCUGGGACACUAUGAUGAGGCCAGGUGAAUGCACACUUGGACACUAUGAUGAGGCCCAGUGAGCCCACAAUGGGACACUAUGAUGAGGCCGGGUGAGUGCACACUGGGACACUAUGAUGAGGCUAGGUGAGCGGACACUGGGACACUAUGAUGAGGCCGGGUGAGCCCACACUGGGGCACUAUGAUGAGGGUAGGUGAGUGCACACUGGGAUGCUAUGAUUCGAUUGUUUUAUCAGGAAUGAUAGUUUAAGUUUGGAGAAUAGUUGAAGCAAAUGCUUUAAGGAAC
Molecule: long non-coding RNA, 357 nt
Filed under: Pan troglodytes (chimpanzee)
Lineage: Eukaryota; Metazoa; Chordata; Mammalia; Primates; Hominidae
Description: long non-coding RNA NONPTRT015446
Source: RNAcentral